Non-coding RNA from Lactuca sativa (garden lettuce), 687 nucleotides. NCBI's taxonomy places the organism in Eukaryota, Viridiplantae, Streptophyta, Magnoliopsida, Asterales, Asteraceae. The record is from RefSeq and is a predicted model, not a curated record.
AGAUAAAACAAGGGAAAAUUAGUCCUAUGCUAAAAGCAUAACAUCUAAACGGUUAGAUUUUACAAUGCAGGGACCACAAGUGGUAACAAAACCCUCCAUAGGGAUCACCCAUGACAAAAAGCGAAUAGUAGGACCAAAAGCGCUAUUUUGGCAAAACCAUAGGGACCAAAAAAGUGUUUUACUCUAAAAUGAAUUAAAUAUAUAUUAAAUAACGGAAAUAUGACCAGAUCUCGUAUCAGAUGAAAACGAGGAAGUUCGAGUAAAGCGAAAGACGGAAGAAGGAGAAUUCAUGAAGUAAAUCAGUGAAUUGAAAAUAUAGUACAGUCGUUUUAAGCAUAUGGCUUGUAAUAUUGAGGAGAAAUCAUUCUGGGUUGAACUGGGUGCCGAUUUAGUCGAGGUGAAAACAUUGCAAAUAGGCAUCUGGCGAAUGUCAAAUAUUUGGUGAUAGCUUCAAGAAUGCAAAAUCUAUUUUAAUUGGGAAGGUCAUUGAAGAUGCAUCAUUAUAUUCCAAACCAUGUUACAGGUCAUUUUUUUUUUUAACUCGAGUGGGUGAGUUUUUCUAUGUGAACCUUGUAAAAUUGAAAAACACCAUGUCUUGUAUACACCACACUUUAAUAAAAUAAUCAAAUAAACAAACCGAAUGUUUCCUGUAAUUUAGGGAACCCAAGUGUCAAAGAUAUAACAUAA